RNAcentral lists this ribosomal RNA (911 nucleotides) under Pseudohydnum tasmanicum. RNAcentral's name for it is "partial large subunit ribosomal RNA". It matches the Rfam family "Eukaryotic large subunit ribosomal RNA", at positions 55 to 956 of the family's 3401-position model. The record is from RNAcentral. Lineage: Eukaryota; Fungi; Basidiomycota; Agaricomycetes; Auriculariales.
UGGGAGGAGACUAACAGGAUUCCCCUAGUAACGGCGAGUGAAGCGGGAAAAGCUCAAAUUUAAAAUCUGGCGGUCUACGGCCGUCCGAGUUGUAGUCUAGAGAGGUGUCUUCCGUGUCGGACCAUGCACAAGUCCCUUGGAACAGGGCGUCAUAGAGGGUGAGAAUCCCGUCCGUGGCAUGGACUCCCGAUGCUCUGUGAUACACCUUCGAAGAGUCGAGUUGUUUGGGAAUGCAGCUCAAAAUGGGUGGUAAAUUCCAUCUAAAGCUAAAUACAGGCGAGAGACCGAUAGCGAACAAGUACCGUGAGGGAAAGAUGAAAAGCACUUUGGAAAGAGAGUUAAACAGUACGUGAAAUUGUUGAAAGGGAAACGCUUGGAGUCAGUCGCGUUUGCUGGGACUCAGCCUUGCUUUUGCUUGGUGCACUUCCUGGUACACGGGCCAGCAUCAAUUUCGGCCGCCAGAAAAAGGCUUGGGGAAGGUGGCACCUCCGGGUGUGUUAUAGCCCCUCGUUGUAUAUGGUGGCUGGGAUUGAGGACCGCAGCACGCCUUUGGUCGGGGUUCGCCCACGCCACGUGCUUAGGAUGCUGGCGUAAUGGCUUUAAACGACCCGUCUUGAAACACGGACCAAGGAGUCUAACAUGCCCGCGAGUGUUUGGGUGUAAAACCCAGGCGCGUAAUGAAAGUGAAAGGUUGGGACUCUUCGCUGAGGCACCGACGCCCGAUCCUGAAGUUCUCGGACGGAUUUGAGGUAGAGCGUGUAUGUUGGGACCCGAAAGAUGGUGAACUAUGCCUGAAUAGGGCGAAGCCAGAGGAAACUCUGGUGGAGGCUCGUAGCGAUUCUGACGUGCAAAUCGAUCGUCAAAUUUGGGUAUAGGGGCGAAAGACUAAUCGAACCAUCUAGUAGCUGGGU